GACGUAGGGUGCAAGCGUUGUCCGGAUUUAUUGGGCGUAAAGAGCUCGUAGGCGGCUUGUUGCGUCGACUGUGAAAACCCGCGGCUUAACCGCGGGCUUGCAGUUGAUACGGGCAGGCUAGAGUUCGGUAGGGGGAGACUGGAAUUCCUGGUGUAGCGGUGAAAUGCGCAGAUAUCGGGAGGAACACCAAUUGCGAAGGCAGCUCGCUGGGACGUUACUGACGCUGAGACGCGAAAGCGUGGGGAGCAAACAGG
RNAcentral lists this ribosomal RNA (254 nucleotides) under uncultured bacterium. RNAcentral describes it as "partial 16S ribosomal RNA". It matches the Rfam family "Bacterial small subunit ribosomal RNA", at positions 524 to 776 of the family's 1533-position model. The record is from RNAcentral.